UAUCCAAAUGAGACAACAAAAGUAUUGAAAAGUACUGUCCAAAAACUGUACCCUCUGCUAGGGUGUCUGUCUGACAAAGCUAACAGCGAUCCCAACGCCGCCUGGUGGCCAAGUGCGGCUUGCCAUCAGACAACAGGUGAAAACAGGUAGGACGAGUUGGCGAAAGGGGAGAAACUUUCAAAACACCGUGUACGUUCGUCUGUGUGACAUCAAGUCGGCACCCGCCCUGGUUGCCAUGGACUUCAUCAAGAUGUGUGCAGCGUGCACCGUGGUGGGACUUCAUCAAGAUGUGUGCAGCAUGCACCGUGGUGGGACUUCAUCAAGAUGUGUGCAGCGUGCACCGUGGUGGGACUUCAUCAAGAUGUGUUGCAGCGUGCACCGUGGUGGGACUCUUUAACCCCGCUUGCAAGAGCCAGGGGCCAUUAUACCGAUCGGUAUACGAUCUUUGCAAGAGCAAUUAUUGUAAUAAAUGACCAAUAUAACAAAUCUCUGGGAAACUGCAGACACGCAGUUCGGAAUUUGAAAUGUCAUCGAUUAUAUUCUGGCCAAAGAAUAAGCGCGCACGUGUUCGAAAACAUGUCUUGCCAAAUUACAGGACAAUAAUGCAGUAAACUUCAUCACACAAACCUAUGUACAAUUCUCUUAUGUUUGCGAAACGUCAAACUACGCUUGUUUUAAUAGCCUGAGAUUAAUAAAUCCUUCUAAAUACGA
Molecule: long non-coding RNA, 711 nt
Organism: Haliotis rubra (blacklip abalone)
Lineage: Eukaryota; Metazoa; Mollusca; Gastropoda; Lepetellida; Haliotidae
Exons: 2
Source: RefSeq, a predicted model, not a curated record